Molecule: ribosomal RNA, 253 nt
Filed under: uncultured bacterium
Lineage: Bacteria
Description: partial 16S ribosomal RNA
Rfam family: Bacterial small subunit ribosomal RNA
Source: RNAcentral
UACAUGGGGUGCAAACGUUGCUCGGAAUUAUUGGGCGUAAAGCGCGCGUAGGCGGUUACUUAAGUCGGAUGUGAAAGCCCUCGGCUUAACUGAGGAAGUGCACCCGAAACUGAGUAGCUAGAGUACGAAAGAGGGUCGCGGAAUUCCCGGUGUAGAGGUGAAAUUCGUAGAUAUUGGGAAGAACACCGAUGGCGAAGGCAGCCAUCUGGACCGACACUGACGCUGAGGCGCGAAAGCGUGGGGAGCAAACAGG